AGUGAACGCUGGCGGUAGGCCUAACACAUGCAAGUCGAACGGCAGCACAGUAAGAGCUUGCUCUUACGGGUGGCGAGUGGCGGACGGGUGAGGAAUACAUCGGAAUCUACUUUUUCGUGGGGGAUAACGUAGGGAAACUUACGCUAAUACCGCAUACGACCUACGGGUGAAAGCAGGGGAUCUUCGGACCUUGCGCGAUUGAAUGAGCCGAUGUCGGAUUAACCAGUUGGCGGGGUAAAGGCCCACCAAGGCGACGAUCCGUAGCUGGUCUGAGAGGAUGAUCAGCCACACUGGAACUGAGACACGGUCCAGACUCCUACGGGAGGCAGCAGUGGGGAAUAUUGGACAAUGGGCGCAAGCCUGAUCCAGCCAUACCGCGUGGGUGAAGAAGGCCUUCGGGUUGUAAAGCCCUUUUGUUGGGAAAGAAAAGCAGCAGGUUAAUACCCCGCUGUUCUGACGGUACCCAAAGAAUAAGCACCGGCUAACUUCGUG
Molecule: ribosomal RNA, 492 nt
Filed under: uncultured bacterium
Lineage: Bacteria
Description: partial 16S ribosomal RNA
Rfam family: Bacterial small subunit ribosomal RNA
Source: RNAcentral